UAGGGAAUAUUGGUAAUGUGCGAAAGCGCGAACCAGCAACGCCGCGUGCACGAUGAAGGCCUUCGGGUCGUAAAGUGCUUUUAGAGAGGAUGAGGAAGGACAGUACUUUCUGAAUAAGCCUCGGCUAACUACGUGCCAGCAGCCGCGGUAAAACGUAGGAGGCUAGCGUUAUCCGGAUUUACUGGGCGUAAAGCGCAUGCAGGUGGUUUUGUAAGUUGGAUGUGAAAGCUCCUGGCUUAACCGGGAGAGGUCGUUCAAAACUACAAGACUUGAGAUUGGUAGAGGAAAAUGGAGUUCCGGGUGUAGUGGUGAAAUGCGUAGAUAUUCGGAGGAACACCAGUGGCGAAAGCGGUUUUCUGGACCAAUUCUGACACUCAGAUGCGAAAGCUAAGGUAGCAAACG
This 402-nucleotide ribosomal RNA is filed under the name uncultured bacterium. Its description in RNAcentral is "bacterial SSU rRNA". It matches the Rfam family "Bacterial small subunit ribosomal RNA", at positions 355 to 774 of the family's 1533-position model. The record is from RNAcentral.